GAUGAACGCUGGCGGCGUGCCUAAUACAUGCAAGUCGAGCGAACAGACGAGGAGCUUGCUCCUCUGACGUUAGCGGCGGACGGGUGAGUAACACGUGGAUAACCUACCUAUAAGACUGGGAUAACUUCGGGAAACCGGAGCUAAUACCGGAUAAUAUAUUGAACCGCAUGGUUCAAUAGUGAAAGACGGUUUUGCUGUCACUUAUAGAUGGAUCCGCGCCGCAUUAGCUAGUUGGUAAGGUAACGGCUUACCAAGGCAACGAUGCGUAGCCGACCUGAGAGAGUGAUCGGCCACACGGGAACGGAGACACGGUCCAGACUCCUACGGGAGGCAGCAGUAGGGAAUCUUCCGCAAUGGGCGAAAGCCUGACGGAGCAACGCCGCGUGAGUGAUGAAGGUCUUCGGAUCGUAAAACUCUGUUAUUAGGGAGGAACAAAUGUGUAAGUAACUAUGCACGUCUUGACGGUACCUAAUCAGAAAGCCACGGCUAACUACGUG
Molecule: ribosomal RNA, 497 nt
Filed under: uncultured bacterium
Lineage: Bacteria
Description: partial 16S ribosomal RNA
Rfam family: Bacterial small subunit ribosomal RNA
Source: RNAcentral